This 226-nucleotide long non-coding RNA is filed under the name Brassica napus (rape). Its description in RNAcentral is "long non-coding RNA (BNAP_LNC019805)". The record is from RNAcentral. Lineage: Eukaryota; Viridiplantae; Streptophyta; Magnoliopsida; Brassicales; Brassicaceae.
GAGGGGGAGGUUCGAUCUCGCGGCCCUUAGGACCACUGCGAGCCGCCUCACACCACUCGACCACCAACGUCGGGUUAAUUUGAUGUUAUUGUUGGAGAUGAUAAAAAGAUUUAUGACACCAAAACAUCAAAUUUAGUGUAAUUUCAACACUAAAUAUGAUUUCAUUCUUGGAAAUGCCCUUAUGGCUUAUUUCUUUUCUUUCAUCAUGCUUUUGAUAUGCGUUGAU